UACGGAGGGGGCUAGCGUUGUUCGGAAUUACUGGGCGUAAAGCGCGCGUAGGCGGACCUGCAAGUCGGGGGUGAAAGCCCGAGGCUCAACCUCGGAACUGCCUUCGAUACUGCGGGUCUCGAGUCCGGGAGAGGUGAGUGGAAUUCCUAGUGUAGCGGUGAAAUGCGCAGAUAUCAGGAGGAACACCAAUGGCGAAGGCAGCUCGCUGGGACGGUACUGACGCUGAGGCGCGAAAGCCAGGGGAGCAAACGGG
Molecule: ribosomal RNA, 253 nt
Filed under: uncultured bacterium
Lineage: Bacteria
Description: partial 16S ribosomal RNA
Rfam family: Bacterial small subunit ribosomal RNA
Source: RNAcentral